This 1294-nucleotide ribosomal RNA is filed under the name uncultured bacterium. RNAcentral's name for it is "partial 16S ribosomal RNA". It matches the Rfam family "Bacterial small subunit ribosomal RNA", at positions 93 to 1399 of the family's 1533-position model. The record is from RNAcentral.
GAGUGGCGGACGGGUGAGUAACGCGUGGGUAACGUGCCCUGUACACACGGAUAACAUACAGAAAGGUAUGCUAAUACGAGAUAAUAUGCUUUUAUCGCAUGGUAGAAGUAUCAAAGCUUUUGCGGUACAGGAUGGACCCGUGUCUGAUUAGCUAGUUGGUAAGGUAACGGCUUACCAAGGCGAUGAUCAGUAGCCGACGUGAGAGGGUGAUCGGCCACAUUGGAAAUGAGACACGGUCCAAACUCCUACGGGAGGCAGCAGUGGGGAAUAUUGCACAAUGGGCGAAAGCCUGAUGCAGCAACGCCGCGUGAGCGAUGAAGGCCUUCGGGUCGUAAAGUCUCUGUCCUCAAGGAAGAUAAUGACGGUACUUGAGGAGGAAGCCCCGGCUAAUUACGUGCCAGCAGCCGCGGUAAUACGUAUUGAGCAAGCGUUAUCCGGAUUUACUGGGUGUAAAGGGUGCGUAGGCGGCACAGCAAGUCAGAUGUGAAAGACCGGGGCUCAACCCCGGGGCUGCAUUUGAAACUGCCGAGCUUGAGUCCGGGAGAGGCAGGCGGAAUUCCUAGUGUAGCGGUGAAAUGCGUAGAUAUUAGGAGGAACACCAGUGGCGAAGGCGGCUUGCUGGACACGGAACUGACGCUGAGGCACGAAAGCGUGGGGAGCAAAACAGGAUUAGAUACCCUGGUAGUCCACGCCGUAAACGAUGAAUACUAGGUGUCGGGGCCGUAUAGGCUUCGGUGCAGCCGCCAACGGCAGUAAGUAUUCCACCUGGGGAGUACGUUCGCAAGAAGGCAUCUCAAAGGAAUUGACUGGGGGCCCGCGACAAGCGGUGGAUGCAUGUGGUUGAAUUAGAAGCAACGAGAAGAACCUCACCAGGUCGGGGCAUCCUUUUGGCAGGGAUUUAUCCGUCCUUUUCGUUUGGGACAGAAGAGACUAGGUGGCGCAUGGUAGUAGUCAGCUCGUGUCGCGAGAUGUUGGGUAAGUCCCGCAAUGAGCGCAACCCCGAUCUUCAGUAGCCAGCGGUCAGGCCGGGCUCUUUGGAGAGACGACCAGGGACAUCCCGGAGGAAGGAGGGGACGACGUCAAAUUAUCAUGCCCGCUAUGAUGUGGGAGACACACGUGCUACAAUGGAGGAUUCAGAGUGAGGCGAGCCCGUGAGGGGGAGCGAGCCACAAAAAGGCCGUCCCAGUUCGGAGUGUAGUAUGCAACCAGAAUACACGAAGCAGGAAUUGUUAGUAAUCGCGAAUCAGAAUGUUGCGGUGAACAAGUUCCCGGUUCUAGCACACACCGCCCGUCA